GCAUACUUGUGCGGUUCCAAGUGUGGAGAAAGCGGCGCUGGGUCUAGAUUGAGGGAUACUCCCCCUUUCCACCAUGGGCAAGAAGGGCAAAGUUGGCAAGAGCCGACGAGACAAGUUUUAUCACUUGGCGAAGGAGACGGGUUACCGUUCCCGAUCUGCUUUCAAGCUGAUCCAGCUCAAUCGCCGCUUUCAGUUCCUGCAGAAAGCCCGAGCCUUGCUGGACCUGUGUGCUGCGCCAGGGGGAUGGCUGCAGGUAGCUGCCAAGUUUAUGCCUGUAUCCAGCCUUAUUGUGGGAGUGGACCUGGUUCCAAUCAAGCCUCUCCCCAAUGUGGUGACUCUCCAGGAGGACAUCACAACAGAACGUUGUAGGCAGGUAAUAGGAGUCUCUCUCUUCCUUCCCCCUUUAUACGGAAACAUCUACAUCCCUGAAAUCCUCUAAAGGCAAGUUUUUCCUUUUUACCGUGCUUUGAGCACGUUCUUGCCUGACAUCUGUACGACAAGACCUAUGGCAUUCGUAGUGUCCACUCCAGGCUUUAUUUAGAGUCAGGGAUAAAGGUGUUUGGAAUUGGGAGAAGGGCAGAGAUCUUUAGUGAAGUCU
RNAcentral lists this small RNA (598 nucleotides) under Pan troglodytes (chimpanzee). RNAcentral describes it as "retained intron". Lineage: Eukaryota; Metazoa; Chordata; Mammalia; Primates; Hominidae. The record is from RNAcentral.